GCGGGCGUAGCAUAAUGGCUAAUGCAGUAGCCUUCCAAGCUACUGAUGAGGGUUCGAUUCCCUUCGCCCGCUCCA
Molecule: transfer RNA, 75 nt
Filed under: Saccharibacter sp. 17.LH.SD
Lineage: Bacteria; Pseudomonadati; Pseudomonadota; Alphaproteobacteria; Acetobacterales; Acetobacteraceae
Description: tRNA-Gly
Rfam family: tRNA
About the family: Transfer RNA (tRNA) molecules are approximately 80 nucleotides in length.
Source: RNAcentral